UGGGGAAUAUUGGACAAUGGGCGCAAGCCUGAUCCAGCCAUGCCGCGUGAGUGAUGAAGGCCCUAGGGUUGUAAAGCUCUUUCACCGGUGAAGAUAAUGACGGUAACCGGAGAAGAAGCCCCGGCUAACUUCGUGCCAGCAGCCGCGGUAAUACGAAGGGGGCUAGCGUUGUUCGGAUUUACUGGGCGUAAAGCGCACGUAGGCGGACUUUUAAGUCAGGGGUGAAAUCCCGGGGCUCAACCCCGGAACUGCCUUGGAUACUGGAAGUCUUGAGUAUGGUAGAGGUGGGUGGAAUUCCGAGUGUAGAGGUGAAAUUCGUAGAUAUUCGGAGGAACACCAGUGGCGAAGGCGGCGCACUGGACCAUUACUGACGCAGAGGUGCGAAAGCGUGGGGAGCAAACAGG
RNAcentral lists this ribosomal RNA (404 nucleotides) under Actinomycetes bacterium. Its description in RNAcentral is "Actinobacteria bacterium partial 16S ribosomal RNA". It matches the Rfam family "Bacterial small subunit ribosomal RNA", at positions 355 to 776 of the family's 1533-position model. The record is from RNAcentral. Lineage: Bacteria; Bacillati; Actinomycetota; Actinomycetes.